GAUGAACGCUAGCGGCAGGCCUAAUACAUGCAAGUCGAACGAGAUUACGAGGCUUGCUUCUUAUGAAAGUGGCGCACGGGUGCGUAACGCGUAUGCAACCUACCUUAAUCAGGGGGAUAGCCCGAAGAAAUUCGGAUUAAGACCGCAUAAAAACACAGGAUAGCAUUAUCCAAUGUUCAAAUAUUUAUAGGAUUAAGAUGGGCAUGCGUGUCAUUAGCUAGUUGGCGGGGUAACGGCCCACCAAGGCGACGAUGACUAGGGGAUCUGAGAGGAUGACCCCCCACACGGGUACUGAGACACGGACCAGACUCCUACGGGAGGCAGCAGUAAGGAAUAUUGGUCAAUGGAGGGAACUCUGAACCAGCCAUGCCGCGUGCAGGAAGACAGCCCUCUGGGUCGUAAACUGCUUUUAGUCGGGAAUAAACCUUUCUACGUGUAGGAAGCUGAAUGUACCGAAGGAAUAAGGAUCGGCUAACUCCGUG
This 482-nucleotide ribosomal RNA is filed under the name uncultured bacterium. RNAcentral describes it as "partial 16S ribosomal RNA". It matches the Rfam family "Bacterial small subunit ribosomal RNA", at positions 28 to 507 of the family's 1533-position model. The record is from RNAcentral.